UCUUUUUUCCUUUCUACAAAUUCUAAUAGGAUGUCCUAUAAUGCACUAAAAAAACAACUAGCAUGUUAAACCCAUGAUAUCACAUCUCCUAUCUUUUAGGGUGCAACUAAAGUGAAUAUGUAGGUGAAGAGGGUGACUCAGUGCAGAAGGCAGCGAGGGAACAGCAGGAGUUGUCGAUAUAGUAAAUGUGGGAAGCUCAAGGAGCUAAAGCUUCAGGAACCCUAGGGCAGGGAGGGUCUCCUGCAUUCCAGCUUAGAAGGGCUGCUCUUCAAGUCUGAGUGUCAGCAGCUCCAUUUUUCCAGAAAGCCACAUUCUUCCAACGGAAGGCAAUGUCCCUCUGCCGCUGCUCACCAUGAAAAGACAGUGUGCCGUGUCAGGAACUGCAGGGCCAGAGCUUUGUGCACUGGGGGAAGGGUCACGAAGCAAAAGGUCACAAGGGUAGGAAGGAAAGUUCUACAUUGGCCGUGGGAACAAGCCAGGCCCAGAGCAGACACCCAGAGUUCAGGAAUGUUCCCUGGCUCACAGCCUCAGAGCUGUGACUAUCAUGAAGGGUGGCUAAAAAUACCUUGGUCAGGGGCCUAGAGAUUGCAUUUGGGAGGCUGCUGUCCAGAGGCAGCCUGGGGAGAGCUGACAGCAGUGUGGGUGCCAGGGCCCCCACCAGCUGCAAAGGCCAGCCAGCCCCCAGCUGCCUGCAGAUGGGUGUUUCUGCCAGUUCUUCUUUAGUGUUCAGGCUCAGAUGAAAGGCCACUUUCAGUAAGUUUCCCUGAUACUGUCAGAGACUGGAGCCAAGACCCUGUCUGUUUUACUCUCUGGACAGCCAGUCUGAGAGGUGGAUGGGCAGUGACUGAACACCACCACCCACAGCAGCGGGCUUUAACCUGAUGGUGGAGACUCCAGCACAGGAGACUCCAGUAGCUCAGAAGGCCUAAUAAGGACAGGAUCAAAGCUUGGACAGCUCGAAGUUGGACUCCUUCCUAUCCCAGAUCCAAGAUCUUUGGUCCUCCUUCAAAGAGAUAGGACACUCACUCCGCUCAACAAUCAAUGCAAAUGAAAAGAUCAACAGAGAUGAUAUGAGUCAGCAGUGGUGCAGGUGAUCUGUGCAGUGCGGUGCGGUGCUGGGGAUGGGUCAAAGCUGUGAUGCAGGGGGCAUGCAACUGGCUCACCAUGGCAUGCAACCAGCUCACCAUGGCAUGCAAUUGGCUCACCAUGGCAUGCAACCGGCUCACCAUGGCAUGCAACCGACUCACCAUGGCAUGCAACCGGCUCACCAUGAGGGGCCAAUCACAAAAGCAGAAACCUCGCCAAGCUGAUAUCUUUCUAGAAAGAAAGAAACCAGCUUGGCAAAGUUCCUGCUUUUGUGACUAUCUCCUAAUGCAGAAACCAAGGCACCUCAGAAGAUCAAGGCUUCUAAAUUCUCCUGGGGGAACAGACGUCAGCCACUCCGCACAAAGGAAACUUCCUUUUCUGUGUCAGAGGAAGACAUAAUUGUGCCAUUUGCUUCUUGAAGAAGUUUACAAACAUUUGCAAGUUGUCAAAAAUAAUUAGUCUAAAAUUGUUUCAUAAACCAUGGAAUGAAACAGUCCGUGCCUUGUUGAGAUCAAAGGGCUUCUGUUACCUUCUUGUAAAUCCAAAUGAAAUUCUUUUGAAAGUAAACUCUUGGAAUUAGCA
Callithrix jacchus (white-tufted-ear marmoset) is the source of this 1668-nucleotide long non-coding RNA. RefSeq lists it as uncharacterized. The record is from RefSeq and is a predicted model, not a curated record. NCBI's taxonomy places the organism in Eukaryota, Metazoa, Chordata, Mammalia, Primates, Cebidae.